UACGGGAGGCAGCAGUGGGGAAUAUUGCACAAUGGGCGCAAGCCUGAUGCAGCAACGCCGUGUGAGUGAAGAAGGUUUUCGGAUCGUAAAACUCUGUCCUAAGGGAAGAAACAAAUGACGGUACCUUAGGAGGAAGCCCCGGCUAACUACGUGCCAGCAGCCGCGGUAAUACGUAGGGGGCAAGCGUUAUCCGGAAUCACUGGGCGUAAAGGGUGCGUAGGCGGCUUAGCAAGCCAGGGGUGAAAGGCAUUGGCUCAACCAAUGUAAGCCUUUGGAACUGUUAAGCUUGAGUGCAGGAGAGGUAAGUGGAAUUCCUAGUGUAGAGGUGAAAUUCGUAGAUAUUAGGAGGAACACCAGUGGCGAAGGCGACUUACUGGACUGUAACUGACGCUGAUGCACGAAAGCGUGGGUAGCGAACAGGAUUAGAUACCCUGGUAG
Molecule: ribosomal RNA, 438 nt
Filed under: uncultured bacterium
Lineage: Bacteria
Description: bacterial SSU rRNA
Rfam family: Bacterial small subunit ribosomal RNA
Source: RNAcentral